UAGCCCAUUUAGCAUAAAUCAUUAAGAAUAUGUAUCAAAAAUUAUGUAGUGACAUCUGUCUCAAUAGUCGAUACAAGUCAUUUAUAAAUAGCAAGUUGUAAUCACAAGAGAAGAUCUUUUGGCCAAUCAAAUUUCUUGCUUCUAUCCUUUAAUUCCUUUCUUUUAGUUAUUUAGUUCAACUCUAGUUUAUUAUUAGUCACAGUAUAAACAUGUAGCCCCGGUUAUAUCCUACCUCCUCUUUUUUUUUAAGCAAGUGGAAUUACAAUCAAUAAUAAAAAUCCUUGAAGGCUAAGGCACUUGGACCUACACUACUAUUCCUUUCCCUUAUCUUCUCCCACGCACAUGUAGGAACCUGCCAAAGGAAGCCCAUGAAAUCUCUCCAAUAGAGGAUUUUCCGACCAACAUCUUCCUUUUCUAGCAUGUUCAGUGGAACAGUUCACAUAGCUAUAUCAUGCCACCGAGAUAGAGGAUGGAUGCUCCAUCAUUAGGACUACUAGGGAGUCUAUCACACAAUGCCAAAAAGUCUUAGAGUUUCUAGGUUGGCAUAUCUGGACUAGCUCCUCCAAUCCAUAAGCAGUUGACAUCUUCGGUGGCUAGACCGGGUCCACUCCUCCUAGGGAGCUUGGCAUUGAAAGCCAUGUCCCAUAGAUAGAAAUGAUUCAUUUGCUAGCUAGUCGCUCUCAGGAAAUGUUCAUGUAGUUCAAAUCCUACAUGAACAAGAGCCAGCACAGUCAUUUGAAAGCAUUCAUAUGUCAAAUGGCUAUUGUAUUAAGGUCA
RNAcentral lists this long non-coding RNA (777 nucleotides) under Elaeis guineensis (African oil palm). RNAcentral describes it as "long non-coding RNA (EGUI_LNC045484)". Lineage: Eukaryota; Viridiplantae; Streptophyta; Magnoliopsida; Arecales; Arecaceae. The record is from RNAcentral.